RNAcentral lists this ribosomal RNA (468 nucleotides) under uncultured bacterium. RNAcentral's name for it is "partial 16S ribosomal RNA". It matches the Rfam family "Bacterial small subunit ribosomal RNA", at positions 28 to 507 of the family's 1533-position model. The record is from RNAcentral.
GACGAACGCUGGCGGCGUGCUUAACACAUGCAAGUCGAACGGAAAGGCCCUGCUUUUGUGGGGUGCUCGAGUGGCGAACGGGUGAGUAACACGUGAGUAACCUGCCCUUGACUUUGGGAUAACUUCAGGAAACUGGGGCUAAUACCGGAUAGGAGCUCCUGCUGCAUGGUGGGGGUUGGAAAGUUUCGGCGGUUGGGGAUGGACUCACGGCUUAUCAGCUUGAUGGUGGGGUAGUGGCUUACCAAGGCUUUGACGGGUAGCCGGCCUGAGAGGGUGACCGGCCACAUUGGGACUGAGGGACGGCCCAGACGCCUACGGGAGGCAGCAGUGGGGAAUAUUGCACAAUGGGCGGAAGCCUGAUGCAGCAACGCCGCGUGCGGGAUAACGGCCUUCGGGGUGUAAACCGCUUUCGCCUGUGACGAAGCGUGAGUGACGGUAAUGGGUAAAGAAGCACCGGCUAACUACGUG